CCUGGUUGAUCCUGCCAGUAGUCAUAUGCUUGUUUUAAAGAUUAAGCCAUGCAAGUGAAAGUGUAAAUAUUUAAAAGUAGGACUGCGGAAGGCUCAUUACUUCAGUUAUUAUUUUCUCAUGUUUUAUAUAGGAUAACGGUGGUAAUUCUAGCGCUAAAACAAGAAUAGAAGAUCAAUUAUAUGAAUAAAUUGAAAUCCUAAAUUUGCAAAAAUAACAGUGAAUUUGUAUCUGUCCCAUCAGCUUGGAGGUAAGGUAAAGGCUUACCUUUGCGGUAACGGGUAACGGGGGAUUAGGGUUUGAUUCCGGAGAGGGAGCCUGAGAAAUAGCUACUACAUCUAAGGAAGGCAGCAGGCGCGCAAAUUACCCAAUUCUGAUACAGAGAGGUAGUAACAAAAAAUAAUCGUGCUGAUAAUUUCAGCUCGUAAAAUGAGUAAAUUGUAAAAAAUUUUACAAGUAUCAAUUGGAGGGCAAGUCUGGUGCCAGCAGCCGCGGUAAUUCCAGCUCCAGGAGCGUAUAUUAAAGUUGUUGCGGUUAAAACGCUCGUAGUUGAAUGUAAUAAAGAAUUUUCUGAAUUCUGCAACUUUGAAGAAAUAUAACAGCUUAAGUGUUAA
RNAcentral lists this ribosomal RNA (612 nucleotides) under uncultured eukaryote. RNAcentral describes it as "bacterial SSU rRNA". It matches the Rfam family "Eukaryotic small subunit ribosomal RNA", at positions 3 to 698 of the family's 1831-position model. The record is from RNAcentral.